Molecule: non-coding RNA, 2792 nt
Organism: Coffea arabica (coffee)
Lineage: Eukaryota; Viridiplantae; Streptophyta; Magnoliopsida; Gentianales; Rubiaceae
Source: RefSeq, a predicted model, not a curated record
CGCUGAACAGCUCCCUUGGAGGUGGAGGAGGUACACAUGGAGCGCCUACUGUACAUUAUAAAGGAAUACAAAGAAACUACUUCAUAAUGGUCAUGGAACAUUCCGGACCUAUUUUGCUUGAUGUAUGGAGGUCUGCAAGAAUAAAUUAAAAGAAGAUGGCAAGUAUCUUGACAUGCCUUGUUUUACUUAGACAAAUAUCUUCUGAACCUUGUUUUGAUGCAUUUCAUACAUAUUUUUUCAUUUGAAAGGAGUUUGUAAAAAGAAUUUCGAAAAUCAUACUAAAAACUAAAAAAGCUUAACUUUAGUAGAUUAUAACCAUAAGAUGGAAGCUGCUAAAAACCAUCUCCAUCUGGCUUUCAUUGUAGGUGAAGAAACUUGAUAAUCCUCAUAAUCUUCCUUUGUCAUUAGAUUCCUGGUAGUAUCAGAAAUUGUCUCUCAAGUUUGAAUAAUUGUACGGCGCUCCAUCACAGGCCAAGAACAGUUUUUGAUGUGGGCUAUGAACUGAUAUUGAUAUCGCACUCCUGUUAGUUUGAAUCUUCUACUGGCUCUGACCCUUGUUGACAUCACAUCCUAACAUGCCUGGCCUUGUUGGAGCCAUAAAUGUGGCCUGUGCUCAAAUAGAACAUCAUUUUAUGCCUACAACACUAUCAAAGUUCACCCUGUUUCUGAUAGCUAUAGGAUUGCACUCUUGUCUUUUCUAUUGGCAUAUUAGUAAUAUGUCAAUUUUUUUGCUUUGGCUAUGCCUGUGGUUUUGUGGCCUGUUCUCAAUGCUAGUUCCAGAGCUUUCUUGCAUACAAACUUUCUUUUUCAAAGAGAUACACUCAAGAGGGUAUCCUACUGUCUUUUCUUGUUUCCUUUUUCACUCUUCUUAAGGGUUGAAGGUUGUCGGUGGUAUGCAUUGAAUUUGGUUGGCUUCUCUUUGAAUUCGUAAUUUAUAACUUAGAAUAUGUAACUUUUUGAGUCUUAGGUAUGUGAAUGGUGAUAUAAAGCCUCAUAACCUAUUGCUUGGCCAAGCAUGAACACCACAAGAAAAGAAGUCUUUUGUCGACUUCGGAAUAGGUCAGAUAAUGUGAAUAUUGUCCUCUCCUAGUCACAAGCAUUUAUCCUUUUUCACUAAUAUCCUCACAAAUUACAGCAACUGAGUGGAGAAAUAGCUGUGAGGGUAAACACAUUGAAUACACUGAACAUCCCUGGCACACAAAGUGAGUGUUAGCUUUCAUAUGUUCACAAUUUUUCAAUUAACUCGUCUGCUUCUAUAGAAGAUCUAUCCUCUUUCUGUGCAACUGUCCAGAGGGACUCUUGAAUUUGCAAGUGUGCAUGCCUAACUUGGGAAGGACUGCUAGUCAGAGGGAUGAUUUACAGACAUUUCCUUAAACACUUAUUUUCCUUCUGAAAGGUAGGUUGCCAUGGAGGAAGUCAAGGUUCUCAAGAAUAAUUCCUUUUUCCCUCACUUUUGGAUCCUUCCUCUUCUUCCACUAGUACGCUUAUUUUCCACUCUGUGUAUUAUCUAAAGGAUGAGGAAACCUUUUUUCAUGUCAGCUUGGAGGAAAAGUUUUCAACCUCACCUGACUUGUUGUGUUUCUCGUGCUAUGCCCCUUUGAAAGAGUAUCUGGGGACUGUUCUUGAUUUUAACUUUUCUGAGGAGCCCAACUAUUGUCUUCUACUAUAUGUUAUAUCCAUCUUUGAUGGUCUUAUUGGAGCCAAUUUUGCCACCAAACUAUUGAACACAGAUGGUGCUCAAAGGUGACAUGUGUGGAUGGUUAGGUAAUUGUGUAGUUUAUUUAUCUCAUAUUGACACUUAUUGUGAUCUUAAGCUAUAACUGAGGGAAUUAAGCUUUCUAAAUUCUCAUGAACAAGUAAGGAAGUUAACUUCAAUGAUAAAGCUAAUUAGGUAUGACCAGGGUUCAGAGGUUUGAUGAGUGAAAUGCCUUCUUACUAGUGCAGGAUAAGGCAUUUUUGGUGUUACAGAGCCCGCAAUUGCAUGUGUACGUACUAUUUAUUUCCCGUUGUGCUUGAAAUUGCAAGUAUUUAUUUGAGUAUUGGGCUUAAUGAACUUAAGUCUGUUUUUUAUGGUUGCGUUGGUUUAUCAGGUCUUAAUUCCAUGUUCGCUUUAGUGGAUGUUGCAUGGUGCCUUAUUGUUGACAAGAUCCUCAAGCCAAAUUAUAUGCAGAUCAAAGGUGUGGGGAUCUUGUUAAUAUCAAAUCUCUGAUGCGAAACAACUUCAUGAAAUUCUACAGGCAAAGUAACUUCAUGAAAGCCUGUGUGUGAACUGGGCUAAAUGGCUCAGGAACUUUUGCUGUCAUCUAAGUUGCCAUGCAAAGUUACUGAGGAGAACCGGGCAAAAAAUCUCUUCGUUUCUUGUUUGUGCUAUGGACAAACAUUGGAAUCACUCCGAUGAUCCAUUAAGAUUUAUCAGAGGCAGAAGAUUUCUUCAGUGUGACAGAUUUACUAUAACAACUUAUUAUCUUUCUCAUGUUUCCUAUUCCCAUAGGAUAUUUCGUUUUUAUUGUUGCAAGUUGGUUGCUGUCAUUGAUCAUUGUUUCUUUCCUUUCAACAGAGGAAGUCAGUUACUUUUCUUUCCUUUGCAAUUAGUUUGUUUGUUCGUUCAGAGAAGGAAAGGAUGGGCUGUCAUGAGAAGGAAAAAAUCAUCGAGGUGCUUAUCUUCCAAAUUAGAAGGCUAGCAUAGGAGGAGUAUUCAGGAAUCAUUGUGGUCUUAUUUCAAAUGCGGUAGCAGAAGAAAUAUGUGCUUUAAGGAUUGGGCUAAGAAUUGCAAUGUCUCGAAAUUUUGUUAA